UUGCAUGUGGAAAUGUCUGCUCCUCAUUCCUUUGGAAGCAGGAACACAUCCAUAACAUGCUACAUUAAAAAAGGAGUUCUCAGGGCUGCCAACCUUACAGUAGAGGUUGAGUAGUAGUAUAUUUCUCCUACAUGA
Molecule: small nucleolar RNA, 135 nt
Organism: Delphinapterus leucas (beluga whale)
Lineage: Eukaryota; Metazoa; Chordata; Mammalia; Artiodactyla; Monodontidae
Gene: SCARNA18
Product: small nucleolar RNA U109
Source: Ensembl